This 562-nucleotide long non-coding RNA is filed under the name Ictidomys tridecemlineatus (thirteen-lined ground squirrel). RNAcentral's name for it is "lncRNA (ENSSTOG00000030954.1)". Lineage: Eukaryota; Metazoa; Chordata; Mammalia; Rodentia; Sciuridae. The record is from RNAcentral.
UAUGACCUCUCUCUGCGCAGCCCAGCCUUUCCUACUACCUCCAUGAGGGGCCCUGGACAUGCUCCUUUUCCAGCCCCAUGAGGCAGCAGCAAGCCCAUAGGGCUGUGAGCGAGUGUCCAGUCCCCCAACCAGCCAGGCCUGCAGACGCAGGUCUAGGCAAGCAGAGGAAUCUCCCAAGAACAAGGCGCCCCCUCUCACUGGUGCCUGAAUUCCCAUGUUCACCCUGUGUGCUGAUCUGGGCUGGACCACUGGGGGCGUCCCUGCUGGGUUCCAAGGCCUCUCCUUGUGUCUAACAGCUCAGUCUUCACCCCAUCCAGCUGGGCCACUCAAUCAUUUGCCAGGAACUUCUCCAAGGAGCACAUCUCCAGAAUCCCCUCUUCCCUGGACCAGCCAGGAGGGUCCCACUGAGUGCAGAUGGCCUGAUGGUCCCAAGAUGGCUGCUGUUGCGAGAAGCCUCCCGCCAGCCUCAAUCCAAGAAAGGAAAGCAGAGCAAGCGAGCGGGAGCCCUUCCAGCAGAGCAAAACGUUUCUCAAAAAUUCCCGUGACUUCCACGUAAAUCUCU